Protopterus annectens (West African lungfish) is the source of this 103-nucleotide small nuclear RNA. The record is from RefSeq and is a predicted model, not a curated record. Lineage: Eukaryota; Metazoa; Chordata; Ceratodontiformes; Protopteridae.
UUGCUUUGGCAGCACAUAUUCUAAAAUUGGAACAAUACAGAGAAGAUUAGCAUGAGCCCUGUGCAAGGAUGACAUGCAAAUUUGUGAAACAUUCUGUAGUGAG